Molecule: long non-coding RNA, 489 nt
Organism: Neogale vison (American mink)
Lineage: Eukaryota; Metazoa; Chordata; Mammalia; Carnivora; Mustelidae
Exons: 3
Source: RefSeq, a predicted model, not a curated record
UUGGGAAGGAGGCACGUAGAUUUCUGAAGGCUGUAAGUCAAGGGCACAGGACAUUUUCCAGACACCAGAACACAAAAGGAUGUAAAGCUAUGGGGGAAACCAGGGCUUCCCCAGAUCCCAGGCAUCAGUGUCAGUUUCUCCUUAAGAUGGUGUGGCGACGGUGGUGAUGGUGGCCAGGAGGUAAGGCAAGAGGUAGAGACAAUGAUGGGGGGGGGGUGUGUGGGCAGGAGGAUGCAGGCACAACUGCAUGAAUGUAGGGCGAUAAGAACAGAAUUUUCUCUAAAGAUGAGUCAACAUUCAUUAUCUCAGUAUCUGUAGAACUAUCCUGCAUUAGACACUGGGAAUACAUUAGCUAUCAGGGAGCUUACAAAACAUAGCUUGACUAUUAUGUUGAGCCCGGGUUUAAAGAUGCUUAAUGAAUGCUAGUAAAAUGAAAUAAACUUUUUUUUUUUUUAAAGAUUUAUUUAUUUGACAGAGAGAGAGAGAGAU